UCGCUGGAUAGGUUACGGCUGAUCCCCGUGGCCGACAAGCCGGUUCCCGGCCGGCUUCCAGCGAUUUUCACCGGGG
Molecule: small RNA, 76 nt
Filed under: Pelobacter propionicus DSM 2379
Lineage: Bacteria; Pseudomonadati; Thermodesulfobacteriota; Desulfuromonadia; Desulfuromonadales; Desulfuromonadaceae
Description: int-alpA RNA
Rfam family: int-alpA RNA
About the family: Acidobacteria (1 example), Planctomycetes (1 example), Proteobacteria. Environment (Lake Washington)
Source: Rfam by way of RNAcentral